RNAcentral lists this ribosomal RNA (638 nucleotides) under Pseudo-nitzschia fraudulenta. RNAcentral describes it as "partial Bacterial large subunit ribosomal RNA". It matches the Rfam family "Bacterial large subunit ribosomal RNA", at positions 1964 to 2602 of the family's 2925-position model. Lineage: Eukaryota; Bacillariophyta; Bacillariophyceae; Bacillariales; Bacillariaceae. The record is from RNAcentral.
AUUCCUUGUCGGGUAAGUUCCGACCUGCACGAAUGGAGUAACGACUUUCCCACUGUCUCAACCGUGGACUCGGCGAAAUUGCACUACGAGUAAAGAUGCUCGUUACGCGCGGCAGGACGGAAAGACCCCGGGACCUUUACUAUAGUUUGGUAUUGGUGUUUGGUUCGGCUUGUGUAGGAUAGGUGGGAGACUGUGAAGCAGCCACGCCAGUGGUUGUGGAGUCAUCGUUGAAAUACCACUCUGGUCGUACUAGAUGUCUAACCUAGGUCCGUUAUCCGGAUCAGGGACAGUGCCUGAUGGGUAGUUUAACUGGGGCGGUUGCCUCCUAAAAUGUAACGGAGGCGCUCAAAGGUUCCCUCAGCCUGGUUGGCAAUCAGGUGGCGAGUGUAAGUGCACAAGGGAGCUUGACUGUGAGACAGACAUGUCGAGCAGGGACGAAAGUCGGAACUAGUGAUCCGGCCACGGCAUGUGGAAGCGUGGUCGCUCAACGGAUAAAAGGUACCCCGGGGAUAACAGGCUGAUCUUCCCCAAGAGUCCAUAUCGACGGGAUGGUUUGGCACCUCGAUGUCGGCUCGUCGCAUCCUGGGGCUGGAGUAGGUCCCAAGGGUUGGGCUGUUCGCCCAUGAAAGCGGUACGCG